UCCACAAGCAACACCGAUUGUCCCUAACGUAAGUGGUAAAGAGUUUGAUGGUUGGUACCCGAGGUUCCGAGUUCGAAUCCUAGUUGAUUCACAUUUUCAGCUAAGUUUAUUUCUAAAUGAAAUAAGCGAAGCGGGUUUACCCUUGAUUAGAUGUAAUUAAAAAUAGGAAUAAUUGCCUAUAUACUCCUCAAGAUUUCGAAAAUAUCUAAUUUACCUCUAGUCUUUUUUUUUUUUUUGUUUUGAAUAUACCUCUUAUAUAUUUCUCCGUUAUUCAAAAAUACCACCCGUUAAGUUAUCUUGAAUUAAACGUAAGNUUUUUUGUUUUGAAUAUACCUCUUAUAUAUUUCUCCGUUAUUCAAAAAUACCACCCGUUAAGUUAUCUUGAAUUAAACGUAAGUUAAAUAUUUACCAGAAUUUUUUUUAAAAAAUCAAAAUACUUCUUUUGUCCUUAACUUAAAGGCAAAUAAGAAAAAUUGAUUAUGGUAAAAGAGUAUAUUUGAAAAAGCAAAAAAUCAAAAUAUAUUUUUUGCCUCUAACUUAAUUAAGAGCAAAUAAAAAAGUUGGUGACAGAAGAAGGGUAUAUUUGAAAAGGUAAAAUAGUAAUUUCACAGAAAUAACAACUGUUCCUAACAGUGUACUAACAACAUUUAACUCUAGAGAGUAUAUUUGAAAUAAUUUGGAACGUUAAAAGGGUAUUUUUAAAAUUAGCCUUCUAAGAGGAGUAAAUCAGAAAGUCGUAAACUUUCUAGGAGUAUAUAAACAACUGUCCCAUAAAAAUACAAUGUAAUCGAAAAUGCAGCAGUUACAACUAUAUAUAUCUCGUUUGCUUGAAAAUAAUAGAAAGUAUUCGAAUUAUAGAUAAUUUGUCUGGUUGCUUGCAGUUGAGAAGUGCAUUUUUUUAAAAUUUUAGCAAUUUAUAUUUGCAAUGGUGAGAUUAUUUAUAAUAUAAAAAGACAUUUCUUUUGUUUGAAAAAUGAUUAUAAAG
This 985-nucleotide long non-coding RNA is filed under the name Ananas comosus (pineapple). Its description in RNAcentral is "long non-coding RNA (ACOM_LNC027191)". Lineage: Eukaryota; Viridiplantae; Streptophyta; Magnoliopsida; Poales; Bromeliaceae. The record is from RNAcentral.